Molecule: ribosomal RNA, 1012 nt
Filed under: Heterocapsa borneoensis
Lineage: Eukaryota; Dinophyceae; Peridiniales; Heterocapsaceae
Description: partial large subunit ribosomal RNA
Rfam family: Eukaryotic large subunit ribosomal RNA
Source: RNAcentral
GUACUUGUCUUCAGGGGAAUAUUACCCCGCUGGAAAUUAAGCAUAUAAGUAAGCGGAGGAUAAGAAACUAAAUAGGAUUCCCUCAGUAAUGGCGAAUGAACAGGGAUGAGCUCAGCAUGGAAAUCGGGGCCUGUGGCCUUGAAUUGUAGUCUCGAGAAGCAUUGCCAACGGAGGCGCAGAUGUAAGCCUCUUGGAAAAGAGCAUCAACGAGGGUGAGAGUCCCGUUUGUCAUCUGCAGUCCCCCGUGCACGGUGUGCUUUCUAAAGAGUCACGUUCCUCGGGAUUGGAGCGCAAAGUGGGUGGUAAAUUUCAUCUAAAGCUAAAUAUAGGUUCGAGACCGAUAGCAAACAAGUACCAUGAGGGAAAGGUGAAAAGGACUUUGAAAAGAGAGUUAAAAGUGCCUGAAAUUGCUGAAAGGGAAGCGAAUGGAACCAGUGUUGCUUGGCAAGAUUGGUGCGUGCUAAUGUGAUUGGCUGCUGCUUCAGCGCAAGCGUGGCAGUGGUUUUUGAUCAGGACGUGCGUGUUGUUUCUUGCCUUGUGUGUCAACGUCAGUUCUCAAUCGAGGAAAACGCCAGGGACAUGGUAGCCUGUCCACGGGUGGGUGAAUGUGCUUGGUUGAACUCAUUUGUGAACUGUUUCCUGCGUGUCUGGUUGCAGUGCUCUCUGUCCUUGGGACUCCAAUGUGGGCUUCGGUCUGCUUGGGCGUCCUGGGCGACAAGGGUAUCUCCCUGACACAACGACGAUGACUAAAUGGUUCUAUUCGACCCGUCUUGAAACACGGACCAAGGAGUCUAACAUAUGUGCGAGUUCACGGGCGGUUAAACCUGCUUGCGCAAUGAAAGUGACUGCUGGGAUCUUUGCACCAGCAACCGACCAAUCAAUUGAGAGAGGUUUGAGUAUGAGCAUAUCUGUUAGGACCCGAAAGAUGGUGAACUAUGCGUGGUUAGGGCAAAGUCAGGGGAAACUCUGAUGGAGGCUCGUAGCGAUACUGACUGAAAAUCCGUUCGUAACA